UAAAAAAUAUGCUUCAAAUCUUCUUCACGUCUAAUCAUGAUCCUAGUAUCAAGAGGACCUUUCUACUCAAAAUUAUUCAAAACGACAUCUCUUCUCAAUCCAUCAACUUCAGCGAAAACAUUCUCAAAAUCCUCGGGAACCAGAAAGGCAUCGUAGUGAAAAAGAUCCUCAAGGUGUUCGAGGAUUUUAAUAAAGUUGAUGGACUGAGAAAGGAGGUCAUUUUGAUUAAUUUUAAGAAGUAAAAUCGACUCGAAGCAUAUUUUUUACCAUGUUCUAUUUUCUGUGUUUGGGCUAGAACUACCUCAUGUCACAGAGGUGGCUAGAACUAC
Molecule: long non-coding RNA, 329 nt
Filed under: Vigna radiata
Lineage: Eukaryota; Viridiplantae; Streptophyta; Magnoliopsida; Fabales; Fabaceae
Description: long non-coding RNA (VRAD_LNC013050)
Source: RNAcentral